RNAcentral lists this ribosomal RNA (305 nucleotides) under uncultured bacterium. Its description in RNAcentral is "bacterial SSU rRNA". It matches the Rfam family "Bacterial small subunit ribosomal RNA", at positions 335 to 634 of the family's 1533-position model. The record is from RNAcentral.
AGCCUACGGGGGGCAGCAGUAGGGAAUUUUCGUCAAUGGGCGCAAGCCUGAACGAGCAAUGCCGCGUGAACGAGGAAGGUCUUCGGAUCGUAAAGUUCUGUUGAAGGGGAAAAAGAGCGGAGAGAGGAAAUGGUCUCCGAUUGAUAUUACCCUUCGAGGAAGUCACGGCUAACUACGUGCCAGCAGCCGCGGUAGUACGUAGGUGGCGAGCGUUAUCCGGAAUGAUUGGGCGUAAAGGGUGCGUAGGCGGCCUGCUAAGUCUGGAGUGAAAGGAACCGGCGCAACCGGUACAGGCUCUGGAAAGU